This is a non-coding RNA of Talaromyces proteolyticus, 91 nucleotides long. The record is from the annotation of a RefSeq genome assembly. NCBI's taxonomy places the organism in Eukaryota, Fungi, Ascomycota, Eurotiomycetes, Eurotiales, Trichocomaceae.
GGUGGCAUGUCCGAGUGGUUAAGGAGCUAGUUUUAGGAAAUAUCCGUACCACUAGUGGUUUACCGCGCGCGUUCGAAUCGCGCUGCCAUCA